Molecule: ribosomal RNA, 253 nt
Filed under: uncultured bacterium
Lineage: Bacteria
Description: partial 16S ribosomal RNA
Rfam family: Bacterial small subunit ribosomal RNA
Source: RNAcentral
UACGAAGGGGGCUAGCGUUGCUCGGAAUCACUGGGCGUAAAGCGCACGUAGGCGGUCUCUUAAGUCAGGGGUGAAAUCCUGGAGCUCAACUCCAGAACUGCCUUUGAUACUGGGAGUCUUGAGUUCGGGAGAGGUGAGUGGAACUGCGAGUGUAGAGGUGAAAUUCGUAGAUAUUCGCAAGAACACCAGUGGCGAAGGCGGCUCACUGGCCCGAUACUGACGCUGAGGUGCGAAAGCGUGGGGAGCAAACAGG